Molecule: ribosomal RNA, 555 nt
Filed under: uncultured bacterium
Lineage: Bacteria
Description: bacterial SSU rRNA
Rfam family: Bacterial small subunit ribosomal RNA
Source: RNAcentral
AAUAGAUACCCAGGUAGUCCACGCCGUAAACGAUGGAUGCUAGCUAUUGGGGGAAUCGACCCCUCCGAAGCGAAGCUAACGCGUUAAGCAUCCCGCCUGAGUAGUACGAGCGCAAGCUUAAAACUCAAAGGAAUUGACGGGGACCCGCACAAGCGGUGGAGCGUGUGGUUUAAUUCGAUGGUAAACGAAGAACCUUACCAAGGUUUGACAUCCCGGUAGCCGUUCUCCAAAGGAGAAUUUCAUUUAGUUGGACCGGUGACAGGUGAUGCAUGGCCGUCGUCAGCUCGUGUCGUGAGAUGUUGGGUUAAGUCCCGCAACGAGCGCAACCCUUAUGAUUUAGUUGGAUUUUUUCUAAACAGACUGCCCUGGUAACAGGGAGGAAGGAGGGGAUGAUGUCAGGUCAGUAUUUCCCUUACACCUUGGGCGACACACGCGCUACAAUGGCCGGUACAAUGGGCAGCUAAGCCGCGAGGUGGAGCAAAUCCCAUCAAAGCCGGUCCCAGUUCGGAUUGCAGGCUGAAACCCGCCUGCAUGAAGCCGGAAUCGCUAGUAACC